Molecule: ribosomal RNA, 460 nt
Filed under: uncultured bacterium
Lineage: Bacteria
Description: partial 16S ribosomal RNA
Rfam family: Bacterial small subunit ribosomal RNA
Source: RNAcentral
CCUACGGGGGGCAGCAGUGAGGAAUAUUGGUCAAUGGACGAGAGUCUGAACCAGCCAAGUAGCGUGAAGGAUGACUGCCCUAUGGGUUGUAAACUUCUUUUAUAUGGGAAUAAAAUGUUCCACGUGUGGGAUUUUGUAUGUACCAUAUGAAUAAGGAUCGGCUAACUCCGUGCCAGCAGCCGCGGUAAUACGGAGGAUCCGAGCGUUAUCCGGAUUUAUUGGGUUUAAAGGGAGCGUAGGUGGAUUGUUAAGUCAGUUGUGAAAGUUUGCGGCUCAACCGUAAAAUUGCAGUUGAUACUGGCAGUCUUGAGUACAGUAGAGGUAGGCGGAAUUCGUGGUGUAGCGGUGAAAUGCUUAGAGAUCACGAAGAACUCCGAUUGCGAAGGCAGUUCACUGGACUGCAACUGACACUGAGGCUCGAAAGUGUGGGUAUCAAACAGGAUUAGAUACCCGUGUAGUC